GAAUUCACUAGUGAUUGUAGUCAUAUGGUUGUCUCAAAGAUUAAGCCAUGCAUGUCUAAGUAUAAGCAAUUUAUACAGUGAAACUGCGAAUGGCUCAUUAAAUCAGUUAUCGUUUAUUUGAUAGUUCCUUUACUACAUGGUAUAACUGUGGUAAUUCUAGAGCUAAUACAUGCUUAAAAUCUCGACCCUUUGGAAGAGAUGUAUUUAUUAGAUAAAAAAUCAAUGUCUUCGGACUCUUUGAUGAUUCAUAAUAACUUUUCGAAUCGCAUGGCCUUGUGCUGGCGAUGGUUCAUUCAAAUUUCUGCCCUAUCAACUUUCGAUGGUAGGAUAGUGGCCUACCAUGGUUUCAACGGGUAACGGGGAAUAAGGGUUCGAUUCCGGAGAGGGAGCCUGAGAAACGGCUACCACAUCCAAGGAAGGCAGCAGGCGCGCAAAUUACCCAAUCCUAAUUCAGGGAGGUAGUGACAAUAAAUAACGAUACAGGGCCCAUUCGGGUCUUGUAAUUGGAAUGAGUACAAUGUAAAUACCUUAACGAGGAACAAUUGGAGGGCAAGUCUGGUGCCAGCAGCCGCGGUAAUUCCAGCUCCAAUAGCGUAUAUUAAAGUUGUUGCAGUCAAAAAGCUCGUAGUUGAACUUUGGGCCCGGUUGGCCGGUCCGAUUUUUUCGUGUACUGGAUUUCCAACGGGGCCUUUCCUUCUGGCUAACCUUGAGUCCUUGUGGCUCUUGGCGAACCGGGACUUUUACUUUGAAAAAAUUAGAGUGUUCAAAGCAGGCGUAUUGCUCGAAUAUAUUAGCAUGGAAUAAUAGAAUAGGACGUUUGGUUCUAUUUUGUUGGUUUCUAGGACCAUCGUAAUGAUUAAUAGGGACG
RNAcentral lists this ribosomal RNA (868 nucleotides) under Saccharomyces sp. WW-W9. RNAcentral describes it as "SSU rRNA". It matches the Rfam family "Eukaryotic small subunit ribosomal RNA", at positions 1 to 880 of the family's 1831-position model. The record is from RNAcentral. Lineage: Eukaryota; Fungi; Ascomycota; Saccharomycetes; Saccharomycetales; Saccharomycetaceae.